Molecule: ribosomal RNA, 256 nt
Filed under: uncultured bacterium
Lineage: Bacteria
Description: partial 16S ribosomal RNA
Rfam family: Bacterial small subunit ribosomal RNA
Source: RNAcentral
UACGAAGGGGGGCUAGCGUUGCUCGGAUUUACUGGGCGUAAAGGGCGCGUAGGCGGACAGUUAAGUUGGGGGUGAAAGCCCGGGGCUCAACCUCGGAAUUGCCUUCAAUACUGGCUGUCUUGAGACCGGGAGAGGGUGAGUGGAAUUCCCAGUGUAGCGGUGAAAUGCGUAGAUAUUGGGAGGAACACCAGUGGCGAAGGCGGCUCACUGGACCGGUACUGACGCUGAUGCGCGAAAGCGUGGGGAGCAAACGGGG